This 253-nucleotide ribosomal RNA is filed under the name uncultured bacterium. RNAcentral describes it as "partial 16S ribosomal RNA". It matches the Rfam family "Bacterial small subunit ribosomal RNA", at positions 524 to 776 of the family's 1533-position model. The record is from RNAcentral.
UACGUAGGGGGCAAGCGUUGUCCGGAAUUAUUGGGCGUAAAGAGCGUGUAGGCGGUCAGAUAAGUCCGCUGUGAAAUCUCGAGGCUCAACUUCGAGCUGUCGGUGGAAACUGUCUGGCUAGAGUCCGGAAGAGGAGAAUGGAAUUCCUGGUGUAGCGGUGAAAUGCGCAGAUAUCAGGAAGAACACCCGUGGCGAAGGCGGUUCUCUGGGACGGUACUGACGCUGAGACGCGAAAGCGUGGGGAGCGAACAGG